CCUACGGGUGGCAGCAGUGAGGAAUAUUGGUCAAUGGGCGCAAGCCUGAACCAGCCAAGUAGCGUGAAGGAUGAAUGCCCUACGGGUUGUAAACCUCUUUUAUACGGGGAUAAAAUGAGCCACGUGUGCCGUUCUGCAGGUACCUUAUGAAUAAGGAUCGGCUAACUCCGUGCCAGCAGCCGCGGUAAUACGGAGGACCCGAGCGUUAUCCGGAUUUAUUGGGGUUAAAGGGAGCGUAGAGGGGUGGUUAAGUCAGUUGUAAAAGUUUGCGGCUCAACCGUCACCCUGCAGUUGAUACUGGAAGUCUUGAGUUCAGUUGAGGUAGGCGGAAUUCGUGGUGUAGCGGUGAAAUGCUUAGAUAUCACGAAGAACUCCGAUUGCGAAGGCAGCUUGC
Molecule: ribosomal RNA, 394 nt
Filed under: uncultured bacterium
Lineage: Bacteria
Description: partial 16S ribosomal RNA
Rfam family: Bacterial small subunit ribosomal RNA
Source: RNAcentral